This 449-nucleotide ribosomal RNA is filed under the name uncultured bacterium. RNAcentral's name for it is "partial 16S ribosomal RNA". It matches the Rfam family "Bacterial small subunit ribosomal RNA", at positions 29 to 523 of the family's 1533-position model. The record is from RNAcentral.
AGCGAACGCUGGCGGCAGGCCUAACACAUGCAAGUCGAGCGCCGUAGCAAUACGGAGCGGCAGACGGGAGAGUAACACAUAGGAACGUACCCUUUGGUUCGGAACAACCCAGGGAAACUUGGGCUAAUACCGGAUAAGCCCUUACGGGGAAAGAUUCAUCGCCGAAGGAUCGGCCCGCGUCUGAUUAGCUAGUUGGUGGGGUAAUGGCCCACCAAGGCGACGAUCAGUAGCUGGUCUGAGAGGAUGAUCAGCCUCACUGGGACUGAGACACGGCCCAGACUCCUACGGGAGGCAGCAGUGGGGAAUAUUGGACAAUGGGCGCAAGCCUGAUCCAGCCAUGCCGCGUGGGUGAUGAAGGCCCUAGGGUUGUAAAGCCCUUUCGGCGGGGAAGAUAAUGACGGUACCCGCAGAAGAAGCCCCGGCUAACUUCGUGCCAGCCGCCGCAGUAA